AGCAGAGUGAGAUCGGCUCCAGGCACCUGUUAUUUAUGCCUCUCUGGAGUCCUGAUGACCAACUUGAUUGGGAGAUUGUGACUGAUGGCGUCUGACUCCUAGAAACUGCUCAGCUGGUCUUUGAAGGAUAGUCUCCGAAGGGCAAUAUCCAGGGUUUUAAACAAGCUUCUCCACAUUCCAAGAAGGAAAUCCAUGCACAAA
This is a long non-coding RNA of Grammomys surdaster, 201 nucleotides long. RefSeq lists it as uncharacterized. NCBI's taxonomy places the organism in Eukaryota, Metazoa, Chordata, Mammalia, Rodentia, Muridae. The record is from RefSeq and is a predicted model, not a curated record. The transcript has 2 exons.